This is a long non-coding RNA of Homo sapiens (human), 695 nucleotides long. Lineage: Eukaryota; Metazoa; Chordata; Mammalia; Primates; Hominidae. The record is from Ensembl.
GAGCAGGAGCCCCCGGAGCGGCAGGGAAAGGAACGUAGAGCCUGCAUGCUCGGGGUAUGAGCUUACUGCGCUCGCUAGGGUGGCGCGCACUGGGGCUCUAGAAAAGAGGGUUGAGAAGCCCCGGGCAAGUGCCUAGGAAGGUCAGAGGAGUCAGCAAAGUCCACGGAAGAACUUCCCCGGGUUGGAGAGGAAACGCACCCUGGGAGCUGGAAAGAAGAGGAAAGCUAGCCUGGGGGAAGCUUGAUCAGGGCUCUGAGUACCACGAGGAGUGCAGAGGAGGUGCUGAUGAUUGCGGGGAGAGCUCUGAGAGCCCGAGAAAGAUGGGGAAACUGAAGCCCUAGAGGAAAAGAAGACUAAAUGUAUUACCAUCUGACCCACUUCCUGGCCAGCCUGUUCACCUGUCUGCUGUUCUUCAUUGUGGCAGGUGUAUGUGUGAGUUUGCAGCUCAAUCCUGGCCAAGGGGAUCCAAGGACUGCUGAAGAGGCAUGUCUGCACAUGUCACCUAGAACAUCUCCAGCCAUCAUGUGAUCUCUGGGGGAGGCAUUCCCAACUCUCUGAGAGAAGCAGACCAGAAAGAUGGAAAGAAAGCACCUGGCUCCAGGAUGAUGACAUUGAGCCGAUGAAUUAACCACCUUUGUGCUGCUCUAACCUUCAGAGUUCACCUUAACAUGAGAAAAUAAAACCCUUAUUGCUUA